RNAcentral lists this ribosomal RNA (566 nucleotides) under uncultured bacterium. RNAcentral's name for it is "bacterial SSU rRNA". It matches the Rfam family "Bacterial small subunit ribosomal RNA", at positions 55 to 610 of the family's 1533-position model. The record is from RNAcentral.
AUGCAAGUCGAGCGGUAACAGAGAGUAGCUUGCUACUCUGCUGACGAGCGGCGGACGGGUGAGUAAUGCUUGGGAAUAUGCCUUAUGGUGGGGGACAACAGUUGGAAACGACUGCUAAUACCGCAUGAUGUCUACGGACCAAAGUGGGGGACCUUCGGGCCUCACGCCAUAAGAUUAGCCCAAGUGGGAUUAGCUAGUUGGUGAGGUAAUGGCUCACCAAGGCGACGAUCCCUAGCUGGUUUGAGAGGAUGAUCAGCCACACUGGGACUAAGACACGGCCCAGACUCCUACGGGAGGCAGCAGGGGGGAAUAUUGCACAAUGGGCGCAAGCCUGAUGCAGCCAUGCCGCGUGUGUGAAGAAGGCCUUCGGGUAGUAAAGCACUUUCAGUAAGGAGGAAAGGUUAAGUGUUAAUAGCACUUAGCUGUGACGUUACUUACAGAAGAAGCACCGGCUAACUCCGUGCCAGCAGCCGCGGUAAUACGGAGGGUGCGAGCGUUAAUCGGAAUUACUGGGCGUAAAGCGUACGCAGGCGGUUUGUUAAGCGAGAUGUGAAAGCCCCGGGCUC